Molecule: ribosomal RNA, 516 nt
Filed under: Actinomyces naeslundii
Lineage: Bacteria; Bacillati; Actinomycetota; Actinomycetes; Actinomycetales; Actinomycetaceae
Description: bacterial SSU rRNA
Rfam family: Bacterial small subunit ribosomal RNA
Source: RNAcentral
CGAACGCUGGCGGCGUGCUUAACACAUGCAAGUCGAACGGUGAAGGGGCCUGCUUUUGUGGGUCCUGGAUGAGUGGCGAACGGGUGAGUAACACGUGAGUAACCUGCCCCCUUCUUCUGGAUAACCGCAUGAAAGUGUGGCUAAUACGGGAUAUUCUGGGUCUGUCGCAUGGUGGGCCUGGGAAAGAUUGCGCCUUUUUUGGUGUUUUUGGUGGGGGAUGGGCUCGCGGCCUAUCAGCUUGUUGGUGGGGUGAUGGCCUACCAAGGCGGUGACGGGUAGCCGGCCUGAGAGGGUGGACGGUCACACUGGGACUGAGACACGGCCCAGACUCCUACGGGAGGCAGCAGUGGGGAAUAUUGCACAAUGGGCGCAAGCCUGAUGCAGCGACGCCGCGUGAGGGAUGGAGGCCUUCGGGUUGUGAACCUCUUUCGCCAGUGAAGCAGGCCUGCCUCGUUUGUGGGUGGGUUGACGGUAGCUGGAUAAGAAGCGCCGGCUAACUACGUGCCAGCAGCCGCG